GAGGCUAUAGCUCAAAUGGUAGAGCAUAUGCUUAGCAAGCAGGAGGUCCUGGGUUUAAUCCCUGGUACCACCU
RNAcentral lists this transfer RNA (73 nucleotides) under Camelus bactrianus (Bactrian camel). It matches the Rfam family "tRNA". From Rfam's summary of the family: Transfer RNA (tRNA) molecules are approximately 80 nucleotides in length. Their secondary structure includes four short double-helical elements and three loops (D, anti-codon, and T loops). Lineage: Eukaryota; Metazoa; Chordata; Mammalia; Artiodactyla; Camelidae. The record is from Rfam by way of RNAcentral. RNAcentral also lists the same sequence under 1 other name.